RNAcentral lists this ribosomal RNA (1457 nucleotides) under uncultured organism. RNAcentral describes it as "16S ribosomal RNA". It matches the Rfam family "Bacterial small subunit ribosomal RNA". The record is from RNAcentral.
UGGCUCAGAUUGAACGCUGGCGGCAGGCCUAACACAUGCAAGUCGAGCGGUAGCACAGAGAGCUUGCUCUCGGGUGACGAGCGGCGGACGGGUGAGUAAUGUCUGGGAAACUGCCUGAUGGAGGGGGAUAACUACUGGAAACGGUAGCUAAUACCGCAUAAUGUCGCAAGACCAAAGUGGGGGACCUUCGGGCCUCAUGCCAUCAGAUGUGCCCAGAUGGGAUUAGCUAGUAGGUGGGGUAAUGGCUCACCUAGGCGACGAUCCCUAGCUGGUCUGAGAGGAUGACCAGCCACACUGGAACUGAGACACGGUCCAGACUCCUACGGGAGGCAGCAGUGGGGAAUAUUGCACAAUGGGCGCAAGCCUGAUGCAGCCAUGCCGCGUGUGUGAAGAAGGCCUUCGGGUUGUAAAGCACUUUCAGCGGGGAGGAAGGCGGUGAGGUUAAUAACCUCAUCGAUUGACGUUACCCGCAGAAGAAGCACCGGCUAACUCCGUGCCAGCAGCCGCGGUAAUACGGAGGGUGCAAGCGUUAAUCGGAAUUACUGGGCGUAAAGCGCACGCAGGCGGUCUGUCAAGUCGGAUGUGAAAUCCCCGGGCUCAACCUGGGAACUGCAUUCGAAACUGGCAGGCUAGAGUCUUGUAGAGGGGGGUAGAAUUCCAGGUGUAGCGGUGAAAUGCGUAGAGAUCUGGAGGAAUACCGGUGGCGAAGGCGGCCCCCUGGACAAAGACUGACGCUCAGGUGCGAAAGCGUGGGGAGCAAACAGGAUUAGAUACCCUGGUAGUCCACGCCGUAAACGAUGUCGAUUUGGAGGUUGUGCCCUUGAGGCGUGGCUUCCGGAGCUAACGCGUUAAAUCGACCGCCUGGGGAGUACGGCCGCAAGGUUAAAACUCAAAUGAAUUGACGGGGGCCCGCACAAGCGGUGGAGCAUGUGGUUUAAUUCGAUGCAACGCGAAGAACCUUACCUGGUCUUGACAUCCACAGAACUUAGCAGAGAUGCUUUGGUGCCUUCGGGAACUGUGAGACAGGUGCUGCAUGGCUGUCGUCAGCUCGUGUUGUGAAAUGUUGGGUUAAGUCCCGCAACGAGCGCAACCCUUAUCCUUUGUUGCCAGCGGUCCGGCCGGGAACUCAAAGGAGACUGCCAGUGAUAAACUGGAGGAAGGUGGGGAUGACGUCAAGUCAUCAUGGCCCUUACGACCAGGGCUACACACGUGCUACAAUGGCAUAUACAAAGAGAAGCGACCUCGCGAGAGCAAGCGGACCUCAUAAAGUAUGUCGUAGUCCGGAUUGGAGUCUGCAACUCGACUCCAUGAAGUCGGAAUCGCUAGUAAUCGUAGAUCAGAAUGCUACGGUGAAUACGUUCCCGGGCCUUGUACACACCGCCCGUCACACCAUGGGAGUGGGUUGCAAAAGAAGUAGGUAGCUUAACCCUCGGGAGGGCGCUUACCACUUUGUGAUU